This is a long non-coding RNA of Mauremys reevesii (Reeves's turtle), 532 nucleotides long. RefSeq lists it as uncharacterized. The transcript is spliced from 3 exons. NCBI's taxonomy places the organism in Eukaryota, Metazoa, Chordata, Testudines, Geoemydidae. The record is from RefSeq and is a predicted model, not a curated record.
AGGCACAAUUAAUUGUAGAUGUAAAUAAUGGCAGUUGGAGGUCUUACAACUUGAUUUGCAAGUGCAAGCAGUUGGAGACUCAGAUGCCAUCACCUGUGUCUGCAGUCAAUUGCAGUUAUCAACACCCUUCUUGAAUUGUGGACACCAGAACUGGACACAGUAUUCCAGUAGCGGUUGCACUAGUGCCAAAUAGAGGUAAAAUAUCCUUUUUUGAGAAAUAAAGAUCGAAAUUUACAGUAUUGGUAACAAUAAGAAGAUACGGAGAAAUGAACAACCCUUCAAAACAGAUUCCUAAAUCCAUAUUCAUCUGCUGAAAGAACUAACCUGUUUAGGAAAUCCUAUGCUAGUUGUCCAGUUUGCUACAGCUGUGAAGAAAAUGCUCAAUAAUAUAUAGAAUAUAAACUUGCUAAUUUGCACACGUUACAAUUUCUUAUUUUUUUUAAAUCAGUUUUCCCCACUUCUUAGCAAAGAUUUAAUAGCAGAGUUCUAUAGUGAGCUUUCAUAUUGUUAAGGCUUCAUUAGCCCAUUUAUU